AAAACCCAGCUGAGCGUUGAGUACUCAGCGCAAUUGAGUGGUUUUCCAUAUUCAGCAGAUGAGAUAUAUCCGUUGAGAGAGGCGAAAGAGAACCGAUUUGCUGAAUCGACGGAUUCGAGUGCAAGUGGCUGAUCUUCGGCUUUUCUUUGCUUGCCUUGCAGACGACAGCCACAAAAACCGAAAACGAGACGAAAAAAAGCGGAGAAUAAUCAUAAAAAAUUAUUGAAAUCAAUUGUUAAUUCAGCCAAUGUCAGUUUGAUACAGGCGCACACUCACACACGCGAACCCACAAAAAAAUUGACUGAUUUUUCUUGAUUUAUGAGAGCAGCCGCAGCAGUUGGUGGGAUUGGAUUGGAGCUGGGACUCGAACUCGGACCGUUGGUAUUUUUCUUCAAGACCGGACCGGACCGGCUGGCCGGGCAAUCGAGAUUUGUCGGGGAGAUCUCAAACUCGGGGGGCUUACUCAUUAUGAGGUGGCGGUGGCUCAGCCGCAGAUGGAGCCGACUUAAAGUUCGAAGGGGUCCGCAUACAAGUAUGAAUCGCUACCGGGAUUAAACAGAACACACAAACAGCUGGGUUCGGAAAAAUAAGUGCGACAAGUGUUUUAUAAUCAAUCGGAAGCAAUUCAACAAAGCUGAGAAUUUAAUGAUCCGAAAAAUCCUGACUAAGCAAAAUAUACAACAUCAAAUUGUUAAUCAACAGUUCUUAAAAAGUUUAAAUAAUUAACUUUAGCUUAUAGUUUAGUUUCAUAAGACUUCGUAUAGAUAUAAAAACAUAAGUUUGUUAUCAGAGCUUCUAAAGUAUUAAAUAAUAUGUCCAUAAAAUAUUAUAUAGUUGUGGCUUAACUUAAGUUAUUUGUGUUCAUAAUUCGCCUUAAAUAAAAGUUGAUAGCAUAAUCGCAAAAA
Long non-coding RNA from Drosophila simulans, 905 nucleotides. RefSeq lists it as uncharacterized. Lineage: Eukaryota; Metazoa; Arthropoda; Insecta; Diptera; Drosophilidae. The record is from RefSeq and is a predicted model, not a curated record. The transcript has 2 exons.